RNAcentral lists this ribosomal RNA (24 nucleotides) under Cercospora rodmanii. RNAcentral describes it as "partial 18S ribosomal RNA". Lineage: Eukaryota; Fungi; Ascomycota; Dothideomycetes; Mycosphaerellales; Mycosphaerellaceae. The record is from RNAcentral. RNAcentral also lists the same sequence under 1 other name.
AGGUGAACUGCGGAGGGAUCAUUA